RNAcentral lists this ribosomal RNA (529 nucleotides) under uncultured bacterium. Its description in RNAcentral is "partial 16S ribosomal RNA". It matches the Rfam family "Bacterial small subunit ribosomal RNA", at positions 355 to 900 of the family's 1533-position model. The record is from RNAcentral.
UGGGGAAUAUUGCACAAUGGGCGAAAGCCUGAUGCAGCAACGCCGCGUGAGUGAUGAAGGUCUUCGGAUUGUAAAGCUCUGUCUUUUGGGACGAUAAUGACGGUACCAAAGGAGGAAGCCACGGCUAACUACGUGCCAGCAGCCGCGGUAAUACGUAGGUGGCGAGCGUUGUCCGGAUUUACUGGGCGUAAAGGGUGCGUAGGCGGAUGUUUAAGUGAGAUGUGAAAUACCCGGGCUUAACUUGGGUGCUGCAUUUCAAACUGGAUAUCUAGAGUGCAGGAGAGGAGAAUGGAAUUCCUAGUGUAGCGGUGAAAUGCGUAGAGAUUAGGAAGAACACCAGUGGCGAAGGCGAUUCUCUGGACUGUAACUGACGCUGAGGCACAAAAGCGUGGGUAGCAAACAGGAUUAGAUACCCUGGUAGUCCACGCCGUAAACGAUGAGUACUAGGUGUAGGAGGUAUCGACCCCUUCUGUGCCGCAGUAAACACAUUAAGUACUCCGCCUGGGAAGUACGAUCGCAAGAUUAAAAC